This is a long non-coding RNA of Sapajus apella (tufted capuchin), 2992 nucleotides long. RefSeq lists it as uncharacterized. Lineage: Eukaryota; Metazoa; Chordata; Mammalia; Primates; Cebidae. The transcript is spliced from 5 exons. The record is from RefSeq and is a predicted model, not a curated record.
AUCAUGGGGAACAACACACACUGGGGACUGUCAGAGGGGCAGGGGAAGGGAAAGCAUCAGGAAUAAUAGUGAAUGGAUGCUGGACUUCAUAUCUAGGUGAUGGAUUUUCUGUGCAACAAACCGCCAUGGCACAUGUUUACCUCUGUGACAAACCUGCACAUCCUACAGAUGGUACCCUGGGACUUAAAAGUUGAAAGAAAAAAUUUAAAAAUUAAAAAUAAAAGCACCAAAUAUUCCUGGUACAUAAUAUAAUCACUAAUUUUACUGAAGUUUCACUAUAUCCUAGGCAGUAUUAUGAGUUUUCUUACCUGAAUCCAUCAGUAACCCUAAGAAGUAGAUAUUACUAUCCUGAUUUUACAAGCAGGGAAAUUGAAACUUGAAUACCUACCCACUGCAAACUCUUAGGAACACUUGAAAUUUCAUUGCCUUCUAACUUUGAGAAGCCCUUGAAAAGGUGGUUUUAGCCUUGAGAGAGAAAAAGUUGCUGAUAGGCUUAUUUAAAAGCCAAGAAGUUGUUAUAGUUUUAAAGCCUAAAUUGGACUUAGUGUCAGCUGAUCCAGUGACCUUCCCUUUUUUAUCCUAGGUAAUCCGGUAAUCUCCCAUUGAUGAGCAAAGCAUGUGUACUCUAUUAAAUACUGGGUGCAGUUUAGGUAACGCUGCCUCCAGCCUCAGGUGCCCAGCAGGAAGUCGUAAUUGACGAUACAGAGCUGAGUAGGGCAGCAUGGUCGCAUCCUGGGUCACCUUCCCCAUCCAUCCCUCCCCAUGGAGCUUGCUGCACUCAUUUACUGCUCAGCUCCUCUUUGACCAAUGGCUGAUGACCUGGACUGGACAUUGCCAGGUCCAAUUCUGUUCCUUACACAGACGAUUGCUGUGGUGAGUCAUAAACACCUCACUGAAUCUCACCUGAAAAGUUAGAUGGAAUGCCCUCUUCAUUCUUGACUCCCAGGAUGUGCUAAUGCCCCACAAAUAUGUGGUGUUCCUCAAAGGAAGGACAUGUAUAUAGUUCAAAGUGAUACUGUGUUCCAAACUCAAAAUUUAAAAAGGCACUGUGAGAAGUAAAUAUUUGCAGAGAAGCUAUAUCCCUAACAAAAUAAUCAAAAUGUGAUAAAUUUAAUUUUCAUUGAAAAUAUUUUAUGUUUCCAAGCAUAGAGACAAGAAAAAUGGCCUUCCUGAAAUACCGAGUAUAUAUAGUUAUAUUUUAGACUUUUCACAGUUGGAAUUUGGUGUUUACGUUUAUCUUUUUAAAUAUCAAUGAAAAAGUUUAUAUUUGUGUCUAGUGCCAUGAUAACAUUAGCAUGUCCCCUUUUUUAUGAGUUAGAGAGAUAAGAUGAUUUACCACUUCUUAUCUUUAGGGCUUAUUUUCUAAAGAUUUUAUCAAGAAGAAGUUACUUUUUAUAAAUAUUUGGCAUAUCUUUUAUUUUUGCUCUUCUUUCAUUUAGGAAAAAUCAAAACAACAAUGGAUUUUUUCCUGAGAUGCACAUUGACUUGUAGGAAGGCUGUCUGAGAAGCAAUUUGUCUGCAAGCAGAGAUUGUGGUCUGUGCAGAAAAAUGUACCAAGAUCUCUUUCCAGGAGAUGGGAAAGAUGAAAACUCUUUGGAAGGAACAAAGAAGAAUAGAGACCUGGAUUCCCAGGUCUGAGAGUGCUCUGUGAAUGAUCAGUCAUAUGUUGAAGCCUUAAACCCGAAUGUGACUGUAUUUGGAGAUAGGGUCUAUAAGAAGAUAAUAAAGGUUAAGAGGAUAGAGCCUUUAUCCAAUGGUACUGGUGUCUUUCUAAGAAGAAGAAAAGAUACUGGAGAGCUCUCUCUCUCUCUCUCCAGGCACACAGAGAGGAAAGGCCAUGUGAGAACACAAGAAGAAGACAGCUGUCUUCAGGCUAGAAGAAGAAGCCUCGCCAGAAACCCACCCCAACAGCACCUUGAUCUUGGACUUCUAGUCUCCAGAAUGCCACCAAACAGAAAUAAUCACAGCGACCUUGGAAGCUAAGUGCUGAAGACUGCAGAGCCACUGUCAGCCUGGGUCCCUGAGAUAAUCAUCAUAGUGACCUUGGAAGCUAAAUGAUGAAGACUGCACAGACUCCAUCAGCCUGGAUCCCUGAAUAACUGACUGCAAACACAUCCCCCUUUCCAAGAUGCCCUGAAAAAAGACCCAGAGAGGUGAAAUUAUUUGCUGACAGCUUUUUUACUUUGGUUUGGGAAAUCUGUCAGAGAUUGUAUUAAGAGAAUACCUAGACUGGUUACAGCUCUGCUUCACAGGACUACUGUGCAGCAUCCAGUUUAAAUCAUCAGACUCCAUGAGGCCAGCCAGGGUUCCACUGUUUUUUGCUGAAGCUCUCUCUACAAACUGCCAAAAUGGCUUCCAAUACUGUAACAGGAAUGCCCUUUAAAUGAGUUUGGUCUUAUAGGGUAGGGAGGAAGAAGAAUCCAUCAUGUAUCAAAGGAGUGAAUUGAUUGACUGGAUUUUUACUUUUCAAUUAAUCGUUUUGGCAGCCUGAAAGAGAGAGUCAGAAGAUCUAUCCCCAGUUGAAUGCUAUUGUUGUCAGAGUGAAAUGUGCCACUUUCAAUGACUGCUAUGCCAUAUUCAACAUAUGGUUGCUUGGAAGCACAAUGAUUAUUUCCUGGGAGAAGCAAUUUUCAACUACUACUUUUGUAUGAUAUUUACAUAAUAUCCCUUGUUCUGUGAAGAUACUGACUGAGACAACAGUGGCACUCCAGGGUAAGUCUUAGACAGAAGCAGCUCCAGAGAAGCAGAUGCACUGACAGAUUGCCACUGCCCUGGGAUUCAGAACUGUUCCAUGCUUAUCUUCUCAGAUCACUGCCUUCAUGUUUACUGGUGAAAGCAUCUGCUGUUGAAAAAUGCCAAGUGAGCAGCCCAAAGUUGCGGGAAACUUUUACCUAUUUCACACACAUAUCAAACACACUUCUAGGCCAGGCUCUCACAACUGCAAUCCUAACACUUUGGAAGGCCAAAGUGGGAAGUUUCCUUGAGCCCAAGA